CAAACUUCUCCAGACGUGGCGCCGCCUUUAAGAACUGUAACACUAACCGCGAAAGUCUGUAGCUUCGCUCCUGAAGCCAGGGAGACCACGAACCCACCAGAACAAAAAAACUCCGGACACAUCAUCUUUAAGAACUCACCGGGAGAGUCUGCGGCUUCAUUCCUGAAGUCAGCGAGACCAAGAACCCACCAAUUCUGGACACAAUUGGAUACUAUAAUCGAUAAAGGUCAGACUUUGUACCUAUUCCUCUAGAAACUGCUGGGAUUCGAA
Molecule: long non-coding RNA, 270 nt
Filed under: Pan troglodytes (chimpanzee)
Lineage: Eukaryota; Metazoa; Chordata; Mammalia; Primates; Hominidae
Description: long non-coding RNA NONPTRT001441
Source: RNAcentral